UGGAUGAUGUGGAUAAUUCGAUGCAACGCGAAGAACCUUACUACCCUUGACAUGUCCGGAACUUGCCAGAGAUGGCUUGGUGCCCGAAAGGGAAUCGGAACACAGGUGCUGCAUGGCUGUCGUCAGCUCGUGUCGUGAGAUGUUGGGUUAAGUCCCGCAACGAGCGCAACCCUUAUCAUUAGUUGCUACGCAAGGGCACUCUAAUGAGACUGCCGGUGACAAACCGGAGGAAGGUGGGGAUGACGUCAAGUCCUCAUGGCCCUUAUGGGUAGGGCUUCACACGUCAUACAAUGGUCGGUACAGAGGGUUGCCAAGCCGCGAGGCGGAGCCAAUCCCACAAAGCCGAUCGUAGUCCGGAUUGUUCUCUGCAACUCGAGAGCAUGAAGUCGGAAUCGCUAGUAAUCGCAGGUCAGCAUACUGCGGUGAAUACGUUCCCGGGUCUU
This 443-nucleotide ribosomal RNA is filed under the name uncultured Thiobacillus sp. Its description in RNAcentral is "bacterial SSU rRNA". It matches the Rfam family "Bacterial small subunit ribosomal RNA", at positions 933 to 1382 of the family's 1533-position model. Lineage: Bacteria; Pseudomonadati; Pseudomonadota; Betaproteobacteria; Nitrosomonadales; Thiobacillaceae. The record is from RNAcentral.